This is a non-coding RNA of Xyrichtys novacula (pearly razorfish), 913 nucleotides long. The record is from the annotation of a GenBank genome assembly. Lineage: Eukaryota; Metazoa; Chordata; Actinopteri; Labriformes; Labridae.
CAUUUUGCACUGCAGACGCCGUAGUUCUUCUGCCUUAGCGUCUCAGUCUGAUUGCAUUUCCAUGAAGAAAUGAUCAUAUAUGUUCUUCCUUUAGCUGUAUCCCACUGCUGCAGUUGAUGGACUCGCCCGGAGGUCUCCAUACAAACAAGCUGCUGCUGGAAGAGAGUAGGUGAGUUGUGUUUAGUCCCUUUGCUAAAGAAAUUAGGCAAAGUUAAAAAGAUGUUUAAUUUUACGUUGGAAUAUCCCUUUAAGUGUGUUCUUCUGUUUCCAGGCUGUGAAGGCUAGUGCAUCCUACGUGGACCCACUAAACUUAUGAUCCCAAACACACCAAAACAGUUAGAAAAGCAGACCGCCAAGUAAUACAUUGUUAAAUUAUACUAAUUUGUUUCAACUCCCUAUCAAGCUGUAUAAAUAGAAGACAGACUCAUCAAAACUUUAAACUAUCAGGUGGUGAUGUUGUUUGAGUUACAUGAGGGUAGCUAUGCUAGCUGAUUAACUAAGUAUCCAGCAGAGCAGUAGCUAAGCUACAAUAAGAAGAACUUCAUUGAUGCAGGAAAGGAGGUUCUAGACCUGCACUGUAUGACAUUCUGUAUUUAUUUAUUUAUUUUCUGCUGGGCCACAUGGCUUUUGCAGGCUACUGCGUGCAUAAUGGAUCCUGUUCACUCUCCAUUAAUACAGAAGGACACCAUGACAAGUAGUACCAAGAGUUGUGUCUGAAGAUAUCAAUAAAUAAAUCGCGUGUGUGUGUGUGUGUGUGUGUGUGUGCGUGCGUGCGUACGUGCGUGUGUGUGUGUGUGUGUGUGUUUCUACAUGUGCAUAAUAAAGCUUGAAAAUAACUCUCUGUCAUUCUUGGGCAAAACAGUCUACAUGUUAUGAAGAGAAAGCAGAGAUCAUCUUCAGCCCCAUAAAAGAG